This 499-nucleotide ribosomal RNA is filed under the name uncultured bacterium. RNAcentral describes it as "bacterial SSU rRNA". It matches the Rfam family "Bacterial small subunit ribosomal RNA", at positions 8 to 518 of the family's 1533-position model. The record is from RNAcentral.
AGGGUUCGAUUCUGGCUCAGGAUGAACGCUGGCGGCGUGCCUAACACAUGCAAGUCGAGCGGAGAUAGGUUGAAGCCUAGCGAUUCUUAUCUUAGCGGCGGAUGGGUGAGUAACACGUGGGUAACCUGCCCUGUACUGGGGGAUAACAGCUGGAAACGGCUGUUAAUACCGCAUAUGCGCACGGAGCCGCAUGGCCCUGGGCGGAAAGAUUCAUCGGUACAGGAUGGGCCCGCGCCGGAUUAACUUGUUGGCGGGGUAACGGCCCACCAAGGUGAUGAUCCGUAGCCGACCUGAGAGGGUGACCGGCCACAUUGGGACUGAGACACGGCCCAAACUCCUACGGGAGGCAGCAGUGGGGGAUAUUGCACAAUGGGGGAAACCCUGAUGCAGCGACGCCGCGUGAAGGAAGAAGUAUUUCGGUAUGUAAACUUCUAUCAGCGGGGAAGAAGAUGACGGUACCCGCACAAGAAGCCCCGGCUAACUACGUGCCAGCCGCCGC